Molecule: transfer RNA, 77 nt
Filed under: Anabaena sp. AL93
Lineage: Bacteria; Bacillati; Cyanobacteriota; Cyanophyceae; Nostocales; Nostocaceae
Description: tRNA-Arg
Rfam family: tRNA
About the family: Transfer RNA (tRNA) molecules are approximately 80 nucleotides in length. Their secondary structure includes four short double-helical elements and three loops (D, anti-codon, and T loops).
Source: RNAcentral
GGGUACGUAGCUCAGUUGGAUAGAGCAUCCGCCUUCUAAGCGGACGGUCACAGGUUCGAGUCCUGUCGUACCCACUA